RNAcentral lists this ribosomal RNA (450 nucleotides) under uncultured bacterium. Its description in RNAcentral is "partial 16S ribosomal RNA". It matches the Rfam family "Bacterial small subunit ribosomal RNA", at positions 354 to 796 of the family's 1533-position model. The record is from RNAcentral.
GUGGGGAAUUUUGGACAAUGGGCGCAAGCCUGAUCCAGCCAUGCCGCGUGAGUGAAGAAGGCCUUCGGGUUGUAAAGCUCUUUCGGCCGGGAAGAAAUCGGCGACUCUAACAUAGUCGCUGGAUGACGGUACCGGACUAAGAAGCACCGGCUAACUACGUGCCAGCAGCCGCGGUAAUACGUAGGGUGCGAGCGUUAAUCGGAAUUACUGGGCGUAAAGCGUGCGCAGGCGGUUUUGUAAGACAGAUGUGAAAUCCCCGGGCUUAACCUGGGAACUGCGUUUGUGACUGCAAGGCUAGAGUACGGCAGAGGGGGGUGGAAUUCCUGGUGUAGCAGUGAAAUGCGUAGAUAUCAGGAGGAACACCGAUGGCGAAGGCAGCCCCCUGGGCCUGUACUGACGCUCAUGCACGAAAGCGUGGGGAGCAAACAGGAUUAGAAACCCCAGUAGUCC